UGGGGAAUUUUGGACAAUGGGCGAAAGCCUGAUCCAGCAAUGCCGCGUGUGUGAAGAAGGCCUUCGGGUUGUAAAGCACUUUUGUCCGGAAAGAAAUCCUUGGCUCUAAUACAGUCGGGGGAUGACGGUACCGGAAGAAUAAGCACCGGCUAACUACGUGCCAGCAGCCGCGGUAAUACGUAGGGUGCAAGCGUUAAUCGGAAUUACUGGGCGUAAAGCGUGCGCAGGCGGUUUGCUAAGACCGAUGUGAAAUCCCCGGGCUCAACCUGGGAACUGCAUUGGUGACUGGCAGGCUAGAGUAUGGCAGAGGGGGGUAGAAUUCCACGUGUAGCAGUGAAAUGCGUAGAGAUGUGGAGGAAUACCGAUGGCGAAGGCAGCCCCCUGGGCCAAUACUGACGCUCAUGCACGAAAGCGUGGGGGAGCAAACAGGAUUAGAUACCCUGGUAGUCCACGCCCUAAACGAUGUCAACUAGUUGUUGGGGAUUCAUUUCCUUAGUAACGUAGCUAACGCGUGAAGUUGACCGCCUGGGGAGUACGGUCGGCAAGAUUAAAACUCAAAUGAAUUGACGGGG
RNAcentral lists this ribosomal RNA (572 nucleotides) under uncultured bacterium. RNAcentral describes it as "partial 16S ribosomal RNA". It matches the Rfam family "Bacterial small subunit ribosomal RNA", at positions 355 to 918 of the family's 1533-position model. The record is from RNAcentral.